UACAGAGGGUGCGAGCGUUAAUCGGAAUUACUGGGCGUAAAGCGUGCGCAGGCGGUUUUGUAAGCCAGAUGUGAAAUCCCCGGGCUCAACCUGGGAAUGGCAUUUGGGACUGCAAGGCUCGAGUGCGGCAGAGGAGACUGGAAUUCCUGGUGUAGCAGUGAAAUGCGUAGAUAUCAGGAGGAAUACCGAUGGCGAAGGCAGGUCUCUGGGCUGACACUGACGCUCAUGCACGAAAGCGUGGGGAGCAAACAGG
This 253-nucleotide ribosomal RNA is filed under the name uncultured bacterium. RNAcentral describes it as "partial 16S ribosomal RNA". It matches the Rfam family "Bacterial small subunit ribosomal RNA", at positions 524 to 776 of the family's 1533-position model. The record is from RNAcentral.